CGCUGGCGGCGCGCCUAACACAUGGCAAGUCGAACGAGAGAUGAGGAGCUUGCUCUUCAGAUCGAGUGGCGAACGGGUGAGUAACGCGUGAGGAACCUGCCUCAAAGAGGGGGACAACAGUUGGAAACGACUGCUAAUACCGCAUAAGCCCACGGCUCGGCAUCGAGCAGAGGGAAAAGGAGCGAUCCGCUUUGAGAUGGCCUCGCGUCCGAUUAGCUAGUUGGUGAGGUAACGGCCCACCAAGGCGACGAUCGGUAGCCGGACUGAGAGGUUGAACGGCCACAUUGGGACUGAGACACGGCCCAGACUCCUACGGGAGGCAGCAGUGGGGAAUAUUGCACAAUGGGGGAAACCCUGAUGCAGCGACGCCGCGUGGAGGAAGAAGGUCUUCGGAUUGUAAACUCCUGUUGUUGAGGAAGAUAAUGACGGUACUCAACAAGGAAGUGACGGCUAACUACGUG
Molecule: ribosomal RNA, 461 nt
Filed under: uncultured bacterium
Lineage: Bacteria
Description: bacterial SSU rRNA
Rfam family: Bacterial small subunit ribosomal RNA
Source: RNAcentral